AACGAACGCUGGCGGCAGGCCUAACACAUGCAAGUCGAACGGAACCUCCGGGUUUAGUGGCGCACGGGUGAGGAACGCGUGGGAAUAUACCCUUGAGUAAGGAAUAAUGUCUGGAAACGGACACUAAUACCUUAUAAUGACUUCGGUCCAAAGAUUUAUCGCUCAAGGAUUAGCCCGCGUAUGAUUAGAUUGUUGGUGAGGUAACGGCUCACCAAGUCUGCGAUCAUUAGGGGGUCUGAGAGGAUGAUCCCCCACACUGGUACUGAGACACGGACCAGACUCCUACGGGAGGCAGCAGUGAGGAAUAUUGCGCAAUGGAGGAAACUCUGACGCAGCCAUGCCGCGUGAGUGAAGAAGGCCUUAGGGUUGUAAAGCUCUUUCAAUAGUGAAGAUUAUGACGGUAACUAUAGAAGAAGCCCCGGCUAAAUUCG
This 431-nucleotide ribosomal RNA is filed under the name uncultured Alphaproteobacteria bacterium. RNAcentral describes it as "bacterial SSU rRNA". It matches the Rfam family "Bacterial small subunit ribosomal RNA", at positions 29 to 505 of the family's 1533-position model. Lineage: Bacteria; Pseudomonadati; Pseudomonadota; Alphaproteobacteria. The record is from RNAcentral.